AUUGAACGCUGGCGGCAGGCCUAACACAUGCAAGUCGAGCGGAUGAAGGGAGCUUGCUCCUGGAUUCAGCGGCGGACGGGUGAGUAAUGCCUAGGAAUCUGCCUGGUAGUGGGGGAUAACGUCCGGAAACGGGCGCUAAUACCGCAUACGUCCUGAGGGAGAAAGUGGGGGAUCUUCGGACCUCACGCUAUCAGAUGAGCCUAGGUCGGAUUAGCUAGUUGGUGGGGUAAAGGCCUACCAAGGCGACGAUCCGUAACUGGUCUGAGAGGAUGAUCAGUCACCCUGGAACUGAGACACGGUCCAGACUCCUACGGGAGGCAGCAGUGGGGAAUAUUGGACAAUGGGCGAAAGCCUGAUCCAGCCAUGCCGCGUGUGUGAAGAAGGUCUUCGGAUUGUAAAGCACUUUAAGUUGGGAGGAAGGGCAGUAAGUUAAUACCUUGCUGUUUUGACGUUACCAACAGAAUAAGCACCGGCUAACUUCGU
RNAcentral lists this ribosomal RNA (483 nucleotides) under uncultured bacterium. RNAcentral's name for it is "partial 16S ribosomal RNA". It matches the Rfam family "Bacterial small subunit ribosomal RNA", at positions 30 to 506 of the family's 1533-position model. The record is from RNAcentral.